RNAcentral lists this long non-coding RNA (7000 nucleotides) under Lupinus angustifolius (narrow-leaved blue lupine). Its description in RNAcentral is "long non-coding RNA (LANG_LNC001595)". Lineage: Eukaryota; Viridiplantae; Streptophyta; Magnoliopsida; Fabales; Fabaceae. The record is from RNAcentral.
UAGAUUUUUCUCACUUUGACAAUUCACAAAAUCUCUCUCUUUUCUCUUCCUCUCUUACACCAUUCAGUUACAAAACGGUUACCAAUUAUUUUCCUCAUUCUUUAUCAAUGCUGAGCAAGGAUUUCUACAUGGUAUCAGAGCUUCUUCAUUGAAGAGGCUCUGCUACAAUUCUGUUGCGCCGUGUCCUUCUUCUUCUUGUUAAGGUUUUGACCUCUCAUUAUCUUUCUAUUUCUCAAGAAUUUGCGGUUCUACAAAUCUAGGUUUUGUGAAUUCUCUACAAUUCAAAUCUAUGUGAUUAUGUUGAAGUUGAUUUUGUUGAAAUGGAAAAUCGCAUUGGAAGUUUAAUGAAUCUGAUUCAAGAUCCUAUUUCUCCUUUCUUCCUUCAUCCUAAUGAAAAUCCUAGAGCUGUUUUAGUUUCGAAUUUGCUGAAUGGAAAUAACUACCACUCGUGGUCUCGUGCAAUGACUAUGUCACUGAAAAUGAAGAAUAAGUUGCAAUUCAUUGAUGGAUUAUUACCUAAACCUCCAAUUGAAGAUCCUAUGUUCAUAACUUGAGAUAGGUGUAACACUUUAGUUCUCUAUUGGUUAAUACUAAGAGUGAGCAUGGGCUGGGUUGGGACGAGUUAAGGCUUGUCCUUACCCGACCAUAAAUACUGGUCGGGUCACUUUUUUGAACCCGGACCCAGCCCUACACCCGAAGCUAACCCGACCCUAAAUAGCGACCGGGUCAGCCUUUAAACCCGACCCAGCCUAGACCCUACUAAAUAUAAUGCAUACUCAUUUUAGAUAAAGACUUCUCAGUAUUAUUUAUUAUUAUGAAUAUGUAGUUUGAUAUAUAAAAUGAUAUAUGUAUAUAUGUAUUAUUCAUCAUGUAUAUAUUAUGGAAAAAUUAAAGAAUAAAUGAAACAUUUGGCCAAAAGGGUAUCAUUACUCUAUACACAUUUGAGUAGAAACACAUACAAACAUGAUGAGCGAGUGACCCUGGGACGGGACGGACCGGGUUAUGCUUGGUCCCUACCCAAUCCUAAAUAUUGACUGGGUCUAUUUUUGGAACCCGAACCCGACCCUAGACCCAAUCAGACCCGACCCUAUUCAGACCAGAUCAUGAUCGGGCCGUGCCGGGUGAGCGGGUAGGGUCGGGUCAUGCUCACCCAUAGUUAAUACAAUCAAUAGAUUCCACUGUUGUGCAAAGUGUGAUGUGGAUGGAGACUGCUUUUGAGAUUUGGCAUGAUCUUCGUGAGAGAUACUAUCAAGGAGAUGUCUAUCGUAUUUCAGAAUUACUAACUGAAAUUCACACUUACAAGAGUUUGACAACUUCAGGCCUAUUCUUCUCUGUUCCUGCAUCAACAAAUGUGAAUGUGGUUAUACAACUAAGUCAUACAGGGAAAAUGAUUAUGUUAUAUGCUUUCUCAAAGGUCUCAAUGAGCAAUAUGAAAGUGUUAGGUCAUAGAUUAUGCUGAUGGGUCCUCUGUCUACAAUAAACAAGGUGUUCUCCUUACUUGUUCAGCAAGAGAGACAUCUAAAUAUGCACUUAACUGAACCAAAAUUGUUGAUAAGUGUUGUGGAUCAUGGAAACACUUUAGAAAGUGGACAUAAUUCUUAUAUGUCUAGCAGAGGCAGAGGAAGGAACUACCAAACUGGUAGGUUCCAAUCUGGACAAGGAAGAGGAAACAAUGUUUUAGGAAAAUAUCCUGGAGGUAGAGGUACAAAGAUUUGUACAUAUUGUAACAAAUCAGGCCACACAAUUGAUCAUUGUUAUAGGAAGCAUGGAUUUCCUCCUAACUAUCAGAGAAAUGUGAAUAAUUUCACUGUUGAAGAUAGUCAAGAAGAGUAUGAGAUUAGUGGCAAUAGAACCAAAGAUGAAUUUGUCACUAAAGAGAAAAGUUUGAGGAUGCAAUUCACUCAUGAGCAACAUAAGACUUUACUUUCUCUUAUCCAACAAUCAUCCUUGCAACAAAGUCAUGCUACCAAUCAGUUAAACACUACUCAUGCUGAUAGCUCUAACACUAAACUUACCUCCAAUGCUCAAACUAGAGGUAAGUCUAUAUCUUGUCAUGUUUAGCCAAGUCUAGUCAUUGGAUUUUAGAUACAGGGACUACUGGCCAUGUGUGUUAUACUAUGUCAAAUUUCCAUACCUUCAAACAGAUUAGACCCAUUCAUGUCACCUUGCCUAAUGGGAGUCAAGUGUCUACCAAUAUUUCAGGCACUGUCAUGUUUUCCAGUAGUUUUUACCUGACUGAUGUUUUCUACAUUCCUUCCUUCCAUUAUAAUCUUGUGUCUGUUUCCAAGUUGACACAUACAUUCUAUACAAACUAAUCUUUGAAAACAAUAUUUGUCAUGUCCAAGAGCUCUUCUCUUUGAAGAUGAUUGGCAUAGCUGAGCUCAAAGGUGGCCUUUUUGCAAUGGUUGCUUCUCUUAUGUCAUUGCAAAAAUCUUCUAAAAGUAUUGUGUCUUCUAAUACUUGUCAUAGUAGUAUCAAUUCCUUUACAAAAUACAAUUGUAAUGUUUGGCAUAGUAGAUUGGGACAUCCCUCACAUCAAAAACUUCUUGUAAUGCAAAAAGAUUUUCCAUUUAUUCAAUGUAAUAAGACUCUUGAUCCAUGUCAUGUUUGUCAUUUGGCAAAACAAAAAAGAUUGCCUUAUAUUGAAAGUGUUUCCAAAUCUGUGCAUUUGUUUGAUUUAAUUCAUAUGGAUAUUUGGGGUCCCAUCUCUAUACCUAGUACUUUUGGUCAUAGAUAUUUCUUGAUCAUUGUGGAAGAUAAAUCUAGGUUCACUUGGUUGUAUUUCUUAAGACUCAAAUCAGAAGUAUCUCAAUUGAUUAAGUCUUUUAUCUCCCUGGUUCAAACACAGUUUGGUGUUAAGAUGAAGUCUGUUAGGACUGAUAAUGGGAAGGAGUUCAGUAUCCCUGACUUCUAUGCUUCAAAUGGUAUUUUACACCAGCCUUCAUGUGUUGAAACACCCCAACAAAAUGGUGUAGUUAAGAGAAAAUACCAGCAUAUUCUAGGGGUAGCCAGGGCCCUCAUUUUCCAAUCAAGUAUUCCUCAUUGCUUCUGGAAUUAUGCAAUAUCUCAUGCCAUUCAUUUGAUCAAUAGGCAGCCUUCUCUCUAUUUGUCUCAACAAUCACCUUAUAGAGUGCUUUAUGGUCGUGUUCCUGAAGUUUCUGACCUAAAGAUUUUUGGUUGUUUGGCUUAUGCCUCUACUAUCACUGCUCAUAGAACAAAGUUGGAUCCUAGAUCUAGAAAGUGUAUUUUUCUAGGAUUCCAACAUGGAGUAAAGGGAUACAUCUUGCUUGAUCUACAAUCUUAUGAAAUCUUCUUGUCUAGACAGGUGUUUUCUAUGAACAUAUGUUUCCUUUCAUAGAAGAUACUCAUACACAGAGUCCAUCUCAUUCUUCACCAUCUGUUGUUCUUCCUCUGUCAAGUCUUGAUCACAAUGGCAUUGAUCCCUUUCCUGAUAUUGUUACUUCUCAUACAUCUCUUUAUAAUAAUCAAGAGUCUACAUCAGUCACCCCUCUCAUCCCGAAUUAUGUGUCUCAAUCCUCACAAUUGUCUGAUCAUGUUGUUCCUUCAAAUAGUUUACAUAGUCAUACCCCUUUUAGGAAGUUUUCUAGAGUCCAACACAAACCUACAUAUUUACAAGACUAUCAUCGUAAUCUUUUGAAGUCUAGUGAGUCCUCUGUUACUGCUGCUCUGUGUCCUAUGGUCAAGUACCCUUUGUCUAAGAGUUUGUCCUACUCCAACUUGUUUCUUAAACACAAACAUUUUUCUUUUGUUAUAUCUUCUAUCAGUGAGCCUAUUCACUAUGGUGAUGCAAUUAAGGAUGAUGGUUGGAAACAAGCCAUUACCAAGGAGCUUAAUGCUCUAAAACAGAAUAACACUUGGCUUCUUACUACUCUUCCUGCCAACAAGAAAACCAUUGGAUGUAAAUGGGUUUUCAAGGUUAAACAUAAAGCAGAUGGGUCUAUUGAGAGGUACAAGGCCAGAUUGGUUGCCAAGGGGUUUACACAAACUGAAGGGGUUGACUACCUAGAGACUUUUAGUCCUGUAGUCAAGAUGACCACCAUCAGGAUUCUCUUAGCUCUAACAUCAAUCAAUAAUUGGCAUUUGCAUCAAUUGGAUGUCAAUACAGCUUUUCUGCAUUGUGAGUUAAAUGAAGAAGUCUACAUGAAGAUUCCUCCUGGCCUAGAAAUCAAGUCCCCUGGUCUUGUGUGUAAGCUUGAAAAGUCUUUAUAUGGGCUUAAACAGGCUAGUCAACAAUGGCAUGCUAAGCUCACUAGUGUGCUCAUCCAAUCUGGAUAUUGCAGAUCAUUCUCUGAUCACUCUCUGUAUUUCAAGAUUCACACACCUCACUUCACUGCCAUACUAGUUUAUGUUGAUGAUUUAGUAUUCACAUGCAAUGAUAUUGAGGAAAUCACUCAUAUGAAGUCCAUCUUGGAUUCUAAGUUCAGCAUUAAAGAUCUUGGUCCAUUGAAAUUUUUUCUAGGCAUGGAAAUUGCAAGGACUUCAAAGGGCAUACAUCUAUAUCAGAGGAAAUACAUCUUGGAUCUUCUUCAAGAAUCAGAUCUCCUUGCUACUAAACCUUGUUCCACUCCUAUUGGACUAUAGUAGUAAGCUAAUCCACUCUUAAUAUGGUACACUUUUAAAGGAUUCAUCUUCCUAUAGAAGAUUAAUUGACAAACUCCUUUAUCUUACUCAUACGCGCCCUGAUCUUUCCUUUGUUGUUGGACAUCUCAGUCAGUUUGUGUGGCAAGUCCUACAGAUCUUCACUUUGCCUCAGCUAUUAGAAUUCUCAAAUAUUUGAAGAGUUCUAUCACUCAGGGUCUUUUGAUGUAAUAAUUUUGCUUUAAAUAAUUUUACUUUUGAUAUAAAAUUAAGGAAACAGAGAUUGAAAUCACCUUUGGUUUAUUUUCAUUUUGAAAUUUAUUUUUAUGGAAUCAAAAUAGUAAUAAUUUUAAAUAAAAAGUAAAAGUAUAUUUUGAAAUCUCAUAACUCUUUUUUCAACUUUAUUUAGCAAGUUUAUCAUUUUCAAAAUUCCAUUGAUUUGAAAAUGACUUUAAAUUCCAAACAUUAUUGUGACAAGGAAUUAAUUAUGUAGUCAUUCUUUUUAGUAAAACUCCAUUUGAUUUAGAAAUACUAAGACUUAUUUAAUAUUCAAAAAAUAAUAUUUUUGCUCUAUUAUAUCCUAACUUGUUUACUAUUACUAAUAAUGUAUUGUUAUUUUUUACCACUAUGAUAUAAAAUUACAGAGAUAAAAAUUGUAAUAAUCUUUUGUUUAUUUUUAUUUUUUCACCGAGAAACUUAAUUUUCGGGAGUAAAACAAUAAUAAUUUUAAAUAAAUGAAUACAAUUGAUAUCAAUUUUACUUAUUGAAAAUAAUAUUAUACUUAGGAACCACUAAAAGUAUAUUAUGAGACUCUAUAGCUAUUUUUUUCAAGUUUAUUUAGACAUUUUCAAAAUUACAUCAGCUGAAAAUCUUUAAAAUCAAGAUUAUAGUUUGACAAUGAAUUAAAAAUAUUUUCAUUUUUGUUUAAAAAAGCAGUUUUAUUUUUAAUACUACAACUCUACAAGUAUUGCUAAGAGCCUAAAGAGAGACGGUGGGAAAUAAUGAGAGAAGAAAAUGAGAGCGUUAUUAAUAUUGAAAUUUAAGUCAUUCCAUUAAUCUAUGAGAAAAAGAUGUAUGCACUAAUGGUGUAUGAAUUUCAUACAUUGACAUCGUAUCAUUUAUCAUUAAUAUUUAAUUGUUGUUGACUUUUCAAAAAAAAUAAUUCAAAUGAAUGAUGAAGCACAUAUGUAUAUAUCUUUACAUUGUCAAUGUAUAUAUUUUACAAUUUAGUGGCUAAGGUUAAACUGAAAAUUUAACGAUGUAGAUAUGUGUCUAUAUAUUUUUUUAGAUGACAAUAUCUUAUGUUUCAUAAUUUAAGGUUUCGCUGAUGGUCCUGAGUUAUUUGAUGUACUCUUCCAAGUAUGAGGUUUAAACAUUCUAAUGGGAAAGCUAUCAGAAGAAUUGACAAAUUUCUAAUAUCAUUUGAAUGGUUAGAGAUGGACACUUCGUCGAUAUUUUUAUUAACUAAUUAAUUUUGAAUACGUCAAAAUGAGCAAACAAUUAAAUUAUUUGUUAAAUUACAAUACUUUGACUAUUAUCAUUGGAAUUUGAAGUUGUAAGCCUAACGCGGUUCCUCUGAAUCUCUCUCAUUCUUUAUUAUUUUACAGUUUAGACUGAGACACCAUGACCAAACACACAAAACAAUGUUAUACCUUAACUCAUCAAACAUAUAAAAUUGAACAUGUUUAACUGACUUUCUCAUUUCAUAACAUUAUUGCACUGAAACUAACUUGAAAGCUAGUUUUGCAGUAUCAUAUGUAAUAGUAUCACACGCAAGUCAUAUAUAUGAAGCUUCUUUGGUUUCUUCAAUGCCUGUUAUGCCUGGUGCUGCUUCUCAUCCAUCCCUCUAUUGCUCCCAGGUAAAUUAUUUAAGUUUUAUUUCACUUAUUAAAAUGAUAUAGGACUUGUAAAAAUUUUCAUCACCAUAGCUAACUUUAUGUUUCAGAAUCUUAUUUAAGUUAACUAUUUAUAACUAAAGUUGAGUACAUUAAUUUCACACUUAAUUAAAUGUAAUGGGUUUUGUGAGUUGUCUAUUUUGGAACAGAGGGAAAGCUCCUGCUGCAGGCCGUGAUGCAGAUAUGAAGAUAAAGCCCCCGCCAGCAAAAACCGGAAACCCUGGUACACACCCAUAAUGGAUAUUGAAAUAAGCAUUGACAUGCUCCAAUGUUUUCAGCUAUGUAAUCAACAUGUUCGUACAAUAAUAACACCCGUUUGUUUCAUAUAUUGGAAAUUCUUCAAGAUACCAACCCACUUGAAAUCAUUUCCUUACUUAAAUCUCAUUUCCAAGUGAGGAAUUUCUCUAAUAUAUUAUCAUUGUAAAGAUGUUUAUACGUGACCACUAUAUCAUUCAACUUCAUUUGUAUUACUUUAUGUAUUAUUCAUAUUUAAGAGAGUUGAUGAU